This 492-nucleotide ribosomal RNA is filed under the name uncultured bacterium. Its description in RNAcentral is "partial 16S ribosomal RNA". It matches the Rfam family "Bacterial small subunit ribosomal RNA", at positions 29 to 507 of the family's 1533-position model. The record is from RNAcentral.
AGUGAACGCUGGCGGUAGGCCUAACACAUGCAAGUCGAACGGCAGCACAGUAAGAGCUUGCUCUUACGGGUGGCGAGUGGCGGACGGGUGAGGAAUACAUCGGAAUCUACUUUUUCGUGGGGGAUAACGUAGGGAAACUUACGCUAAUACCGCAUACGACCUACGGGUGAAAGCAGGGGAUCUUCGGACCUUGCGCGAUUGAAUGAGCCGAUGUCGGAUUAGCUGGUUGGCGGGGUAAAGGCCCACCAAGGCGACGAUCCGUAGCUGGUCUGAGAGGAUGAUCAGCCACACUGGAACUGAGACACGGUCCAGACUCCUACGGGAGGCAGCAGUGGGGAAUAUUGGACAAUGGGCGCAAGCCUGAUCCAGCCAUACCGCGUGGGUGAAGAAGGCCUUCGGGUUGUAAAGCCCUUUUGUUGGGAAAGAAAAGCAGCAAGUUAAUACCCCGCUGUUCUGACGGUACCCAAAGAAUAAGCACCGGCUAACUUCGUG